Molecule: unclassified non-coding RNA, 86 nt
Filed under: Epilithonimonas mollis
Lineage: Bacteria; Pseudomonadati; Bacteroidota; Flavobacteriia; Flavobacteriales; Weeksellaceae
Description: Chryseobacterium molle Flavo-1 RNA
Source: RNAcentral
CUGCAGCCCGACUUGAACGGAGCUCAUUUUUUUGCUGCCGGAAAAAGCCAAGGCAAAAAAUAGCGGGAGUGGAAGGCGGAUUAAGC